RNAcentral lists this unclassified non-coding RNA (520 nucleotides) under uncultured Glomus. Its description in RNAcentral is "SSU rRNA". It matches the Rfam family "Eukaryotic small subunit ribosomal RNA", at positions 569 to 1091 of the family's 1831-position model. Lineage: Eukaryota; Fungi; Glomeromycota; Glomeromycetes; Glomerales; Glomeraceae. The record is from RNAcentral.
AGCAGCCGCGGUAAUUCCAGCUCCAAUAGCGUAUAUUAAAGUUGUUGCAGUUAAAAAGCUCGUAGUUGAAUUUCGGGAUCAGUUGGUCGGUCGUGCCUCGGUACGUACUGGUCAAAUUGAUUCCUACCUUCUGACGAACCACGAUGUCAUUAAUUUGGUGUCGCGGGAAAUCGGGACUGUUACUUUGAAAAAAUUAGAGUGUUUAAAGCAGGCUCGCGCUUGAAUACAUUAGCAUGGAAUAAUGAAAUAGGACGUUUGAUCCUAUUUUGUUGGUUUCUAGGAUCGACGUAAUGAUUAAUAGGGAUAGUUGGGGGCAUUAGUAUUCAAUUGUCAGAGGUGAAAUUCUUGGAUUUAUUGAAGACUAACUACUGCGAAAGCAUUUGCCAAGGAUGUUUUCAUUAAUCAAGAACGAAAGUUAGGGGAUCGAAGACGAUCAGAUACCGUCGUAGUCUUAACCAUAAACUAUGCCGACUAGGGAUCGGAUGAUGUUAAUUUUUUAAUGACUCAUUCGGCGCCUUAC